This 253-nucleotide ribosomal RNA is filed under the name uncultured bacterium. RNAcentral's name for it is "partial 16S ribosomal RNA". It matches the Rfam family "Bacterial small subunit ribosomal RNA", at positions 524 to 776 of the family's 1533-position model. The record is from RNAcentral.
UACGUAGGGUGCAAGCGUUGUCCGGAAUUAUUGGGCGUAAAGAGCUCGUAGGCGGUCUGUCGCGUCUGCUGUGAAAACUCGGGGCUUAACCCCGGGCCUGCAGUGGGUACGGGCAGACUAGAGUGCGGUAGGGGAGACUGGAAUUCCUGGUGUAGCGGUGAAAUGCGUAGAUAUCUGGAGGAACACCGGUGGCGAAGGCGGCGUCCUGGACCAACACUGACACUGAGGAGCGAAAGCCAGGGGAGCAAACGGG